AGAGUUUGAUCCUGGCUCAGGAUGAACGCUAGCGGCAGGCCUAAUACAUGCAAGUCGAGGGGCAGCACGAGUACUUGUACUUGGUGGCGACCGGCGCACGGGUGCGUAACGCGUAUGCAACCUACCUUAUACAGAGGGAUAGCCCAGAGAAAUUUGGAUUAAUACCUCAUAGUAUCAUUUGAAGGCAUCUGAGAAUGAUUAAAGAUUUAUCGGUAUAAGAUGGGCAUGCGUAAGAUUAGUUAGUUGGUGAGGUAACGGCUCACCAAGACUUCGAUCUUUAGGGGUUCUGAGAGGAUGAUCCCCCACACUGGUACUGAGAUACGGACCAGACUUCUACGGGAGGCAGCAGUAGGGAAUAUUGGUCAAUGGGCGAGAGCCUGAACCAGCCAUGCCGCGUGCAGGAAGACGGCCUUCUGGGUUGUAAACUGCUUUUAUAUGGGAAGAAAACGGCCUUGCGAGGCAGAUUGACGGUACCAUAUGAAUAAGCACCGGCUAACUCCGUGCCAGCAGCCGCGGUAAUACGGAGGGUGCAAGCGUUGUCCGGAUUUAUUGGGUUUAAAGGGUACGUAGGCGGCCAAUUAAGUCAGUGGUGAAAGCCAGCAGCUCAACUGUUGAACUGCCAUUGAUACUGAUUGGCUCGAGUUCUGUUAAGGUAGGCGGAAUUGAUGGUGUAGCGGUGAAAUGCAUAGAUACCAUCAGGAACACCGAUUGCGAAGGCAGCUUACUAGGCAGAAACUGACGCUAAUGUACGAAAGCGUGGGGAUCGAACAGGAUUAGAUACCCUGGUAGUCCACGCCGUAAACGAUGCU
This 809-nucleotide ribosomal RNA is filed under the name marine metagenome. RNAcentral's name for it is "bacterial SSU rRNA". It matches the Rfam family "Bacterial small subunit ribosomal RNA", at positions 8 to 813 of the family's 1533-position model. The record is from RNAcentral.